GACCUUCUGGGAUGUUGGCGUGUUAACUAUGUCCCUGAGCCGAUAAGUACUACUUAAGGGUAUCGCUUGUUUGCUAUUGAGCAUGCCUGACUCGUAUCAGGAAGCCUACGGUAAGCACUUGACUCCCGCCUUGAACACACGGUGUUCAAGGGCUGACGUUGACUGCGGCAUCUUGGAAGGCGU
Molecule: non-coding RNA, 183 nt
Filed under: Endozoicomonas sp. G2_1
Lineage: Bacteria; Pseudomonadati; Pseudomonadota; Gammaproteobacteria; Oceanospirillales; Endozoicomonadaceae
Description: 6S / SsrS RNA
Rfam family: 6S / SsrS RNA
About the family: E. coli 6S RNA was the first non coding RNA to be sequenced, but its function was unknown until recently. It consists of 184 nucleotides that fold into an extended hairpin structure with a large single-stranded internal bulge.
Source: Rfam by way of RNAcentral